Molecule: ribosomal RNA, 231 nt
Filed under: uncultured bacterium
Lineage: Bacteria
Description: partial 16S ribosomal RNA
Rfam family: Bacterial small subunit ribosomal RNA
Source: RNAcentral
AUUGAACGCUGGCGGCGUGCUUAACACAUGCAAGUCGAGCGGUAAGGCCCUUUCGGGGGUACGACGAGCGGCGAACGGGUGGAGUAACACGUGGGUGACCUGCCCUCAGCUCUGGGAUAAGCCUGGGAAACCGGGUCUAAUACCGGAUAUGACUCCAUGACGCAUGUUGUGGGUGGAAAGCCUUGUGCGGCUGAGGAUGGGCCCGCGGCCUAUCAGCUUGUUGGGGGGUGA